This is a non-coding RNA of Taeniopygia guttata (zebra finch), 471 nucleotides long. The record is from RefSeq and is a predicted model, not a curated record. Lineage: Eukaryota; Metazoa; Chordata; Aves; Passeriformes; Estrildidae.
GGGCGCCGGACCCGCGCAGCGCCGCGCUGCCCACCGGCACCGGCCCGGCCCGGCCCGGCCGAGCGCAGCGGGCCCGGCCAGCCCUGCCGGGAGGGCGCAGCCGCCGGCCGUGUGCGCCUCGGGGCUGCGCGCCCCGCGUCUCGCAGCGCCCGCAGCUACGGUACAGCAGCUCUGAACUCGCAGGUCCGGCUACUCUCAAACAAUACUGAGGUUUUCAUCUCGCUCUACAUAACCUAUGGGACGUAAAUGCUUUUCAUUUAGGAUAGUGUCACUUUUGCUUAUUUCGCCACUGAGCAACACUUCAGGUUACCAGAGAAGUUUGUAUUGAGAAGAUACAAAAUCCACCAAAUGGAUAGUCCUGCAUUUCUCCAUUAAAACUGAUUCUGAAACUUUUUUUAAUACAAUGUAACAUUCUAGUAUUCUAUGUGAUAAUUAGAGUAGCUGGAUUCAUUAAAUAAACUAGAUACUUUU